UUGGAUAUGAACAUUUUAGUUUUCAGGAUAUUCAAAUGAUGUUAUAUAUUUAAAUAUACAAUUAGAUAAAUUUUGAAUAUUACAAAAAAUACAAACUGGUUGGCACUAUGCCCAAGAUAGGCCAAGAUAAUAAACAAAAAUUUUUUGAUGAUGAUGAAGAAAAUAAAAUUGUUGAAUAUCUAAUUGCAUGUAGUAAAACCUUUUAUGGUUUAUCCGUUAAAAAGAUAAAAAUUCAAGCAUAUUAUCAUGCUAUUCAAUAACAAAAAAAUACCAAAAUCGUGAAGAAUGGUUUUCUUCAUUUAUGAGAAGAAAUCCAAGAUUAUCUCUAAGAUCUCCGGAAGCUACAAGUUUAGCUCGAGCGGCUGGUUUUAAUCAAGAGGCUGUUCUAUAUUUUUUUAAUCUUUAUAAGGGAAAACUAGAUAAAGAAGAAUUAAGACCUAUGUCAAUUUACAAUAUGGACGAAACAGGAUUGACAACUGUGCAAAAUCCAUCAAAAAUUGUUGCGCAGAAGGGUCAGAAACAAGUCGGAUCCAUCACUUCCGCAGAGCGAGGCACUCUAGUAACAAUGGCGCUGGUAACGCUUUAGGGAAUUAUAUUCCCCCGAUGUUUAUUUUUCCGCGUAAAAAAUAUUAUAAUCAUUUUGGAGACGGUCCUCAGGGAUGUAUUGGCGCAUCCAACGGAUCGGGUUGGAUGCAAGAGGAGGAAUUUAUUAUGUUUUUAAGUCACAUUGUUUCUCAUACAAGAUGUAGCCAAAAAUUUAAAAUUUUACUAAUUUUGGAUAAUCAUAUAUCCCACCAAUCAUAUAAUGCGAUUCAAUAUUGUAUAGAUAAUGGUAUAAUACUUUUAUCUCUUCCUCCACACUGUACUCAUAAAUUGCAACCCUUCGACAGGACAGUCUAUGGGCCUUUAAAAAAAUUUUAUAAUAAUGGGAUAGAUUCAUAAUUGCGAAAUCAUCGUGGAAUCUCUUUUUCUCUUUAUGAUAUUCCCUCUAUUGUAAAGGAUAUUUUACCUUUAGCAGCCUCUUCAAAAAAUAUUCAAAAGGGAUUUGAAUCUUGUGGAAUAUAUCCCUACAAUGAAAAUAUUUUUCGGGAGGAGGAUUUUAUUCCUUCAUCAAAUGAUGAAAGAUCGUUUAUAUUAAGAGAAAGUUCAGGACAUCCGCCUUCAAAUUCGUCAAUUAAGUUAAUUCCUAGCUCUUCUACUAAUUCUCUUCCCAACACUUUUUCUUCUAUUCCUAGCCCCUCUACUAACAUCUCAAUUAAGGAUACUAUCCCUUCAAACAAUACUCUCCCAGGUCCGUCAUUUACUCCGAUAUCAAUCUCAUCUGGUAAUUCGCAAACUAAAGGAUCAAGGAAAAAAAAGGCUGAGAUCUUUACCUCAUCCCCAUUCAAGAGGGAACUUUUAUUAAAAGAAAAGAAUAAAAAAUCAAAAAAAAAUAUUGUUAAAAAAUUAAUAAAAGAUGUGUGUAUUAUAUGUAAACAAGAUUAUAAAAAUUUUCAUAAUUUUGAGGAUUGGUUUCAAUGUCGAGUAUGUAAAGGUUGGGCGCAUGGGUCAUGUGCCAAAAAAGAUUGUUAUUUUAUAUGUUAUAAUUGUAAAUAGAAUAUUAUACAA
Gordionus sp. m RMFG-2023 is the source of this 1608-nucleotide long non-coding RNA. RefSeq lists it as uncharacterized. Lineage: Eukaryota; Metazoa; Nematomorpha; Gordioida; Chordodea; Parachordodidae. The transcript has 3 exons. The record is from RefSeq and is a predicted model, not a curated record.